GAAAGUAGGAAAGGGCGCAUGGCGGAUGCCUUGGCUCUCGGAGGCGAUGAAGGACGUGAUAAGCUGCGAUAAGUCACGGGGAGGUGCAAAUAACCUUUGAUCCGUGAAUUUCCGAAUGGGACAACCCGAUAUCCUGAAGGGAUAUCACCUCAUCCAGUUGAGGAGCUAACGCAGGGAACUGAAACAUCUUAGUACCUGCAGGAAAAGAAAAUAACAAUGAUUCCCCCAGUAGUGGCGAGCGAACGGGGAA
This 250-nucleotide ribosomal RNA is filed under the name Phocaeicola plebeius. RNAcentral describes it as "partial 23S ribosomal RNA". It matches the Rfam family "Bacterial large subunit ribosomal RNA", at positions 1 to 264 of the family's 2925-position model. The record is from RNAcentral. Lineage: Bacteria; Pseudomonadati; Bacteroidota; Bacteroidia; Bacteroidales; Bacteroidaceae.